RNAcentral lists this ribosomal RNA (355 nucleotides) under uncultured bacterium. Its description in RNAcentral is "bacterial SSU rRNA". It matches the Rfam family "Bacterial small subunit ribosomal RNA", at positions 8 to 350 of the family's 1533-position model. The record is from RNAcentral.
AGAGUUUGAUCAUGGCUCAGGAUGAACGCUAGCUACAGGCUUAACACAUGCAAGUCGAGGGGAAACGACAUCGAAAGCUUGCUUUUGAUGGGCGUCGACCGGCGCACGGGUGAGUAACGCGUAUCCAACCUGCCCACCACUUGGGGAUAACCUUGCGAAAGUAAGACUAAUACCCAAUGAUAUCUCUAGAAGACAUCUGAAAGAGAUUAAAGAUUUAUCGGUGAUGGAUGGGGAUGCGUCUGAUUAGCUUGUUGGCGGGGUAACGGCCACCAAGGCUACGAUCAGUAGGGGUUCUGAGACGGAAGGUCCCCCCANAUUGGAACUGAGACACGGUCCAAAACUCCUACGGGAGGCA